GCAGUCGACGAACUCUGGUAUUGAUUGGUGCUUGCAUCAUGAUUUACAUUUGAGUGAGUGGCGAACUGGUGAGUAACACGUGGGAAACCUGCCCAGAAGCGGGGGAUAACACCUGGAAACAGAUGCUAAUACCGCAUAACAACUUGGACCGCAUGGUCCGAGUUUGAAAGAUGGCUUCGGCUAUCACUUUUGGAUGGUCCCGCGGCGUAUUAGCUAGAUGGUGGGGUAACGGCUCACCAUGGCAAUGAUACGUAGCCGACCUGAGAGGGUAAUCGGCCACAUUGGGACUGAGACACGGCCCAAACUCCUACGGGAGGCAGCAGUAGGGAAUCUUCCACAAUGGACGAAAGUCUGAUGGAGCAACGCCGCGUGAGUGAAGAAGGGUUUCGGCUCGUAAAACUCUGUUGUUAAAGAAGAACAUAUCUGAGAGUAACUGUUCAGGUAUUGACGGUAUUUAACCAGAAAGCCACGGCUAACUACGUGCCAGCAGCCGCGGUAAUACGUAGGUGGCAAGCGUUGUCCGGAUUUAUUGGGCGUAAAGCGAGCGCAGGCGGUUUUUUAAGUCUGAUGUGAAAGCCUUCGGCUCAACCGAAGAAGUGCAUCGGAAACUGGGAAACUUGAGUGCAGAAGAGGACAGUGGAACUCCAUGUGUAGCGGUGAAAUGCGUAGAUAUAUGGAAGAACACCAGUGGCGAAGGC
This 698-nucleotide ribosomal RNA is filed under the name Lactiplantibacillus pentosus. RNAcentral describes it as "bacterial SSU rRNA". It matches the Rfam family "Bacterial small subunit ribosomal RNA", at positions 57 to 722 of the family's 1533-position model. The record is from RNAcentral. Lineage: Bacteria; Bacillati; Bacillota; Bacilli; Lactobacillales; Lactobacillaceae.